This is a long non-coding RNA of Harmonia axyridis, 2439 nucleotides long. RefSeq lists it as uncharacterized. The transcript is spliced from 4 exons. The record is from RefSeq and is a predicted model, not a curated record. NCBI's taxonomy places the organism in Eukaryota, Metazoa, Arthropoda, Insecta, Coleoptera, Coccinellidae.
UUAGUCUGUGCUACUACGCCGUCGCCGACCUUAACCUGUCAUUUGUACGUUAUGAACUGUGUUUCAAAAUAUUAGCAAUUUUAAUUGCUCUGUGAUAUUCCUGAUUCCUGUUAGUACGGAAAUAACGUUCAACAUGAAUGAAGUCAACAAUAAUCUGACCUGUGACAUUUGCAAAAAGAAAUUCUCCAGAGUGUGGGUGAAAAAUCGUCAUUUAAAAGAUAUUCACCAUGUAGAAGCGAAAAAAUCAGAAAGCAGAAAAUCAACAGUUCAUAUGAAGUGUUCUAUUUGCCCCGAAGAACUGUGGAAAAUGACGAGUUGGAAAGGAUUAAUGUACUUACCAGAGGAGAUCUUGCCUAUUCAAUUAGAAAAUUCAACAUUGAUAAAAGAAGACAUGAUGAUGAUAUGGUAGAAAUAGCAUUAAAAGUUGAGGAAUGGAAUAGUGAAGGAAAAAAUGAUGUUUUUCUAUUUAAACAAGUAGGAGAAGCCUAUGUCAGAUUGAAGGAUGAAGAUUUUGCUUUAGAUAUAUGAAUGACAACAUGGAAAGAAAGCUGAAAUGGUUCAAAAAAAUUAUAUGCAUAGAUGGGACACAUGGAACCAAUGCAAGAAACUAUGAUCUUACCAUAGUUCUAAUUCUAGGUCCCGACCUCUUAGGAAAAAAAAUGCUUGUUGUGACCUUUUUAUUUGAGGAUUCAGAUCAGUAUAAUGUUGUUUUCAGUUAUGUACAUAGAUUUUGCUAAAAGAGAACUUAUUUAAACGUAAACCUCUCAUUCAAUGCAACAAGUAUCUUUCAAAAUGUUGGAUGUGAAUAAUUUUAAAUAUAUAUGAAGCUAUGGAGUUGGCGCUUCUGAGAUUUUUGUGAGUAACAAAAGUAAUUUAAUAGAUAAUUAAUUUCAAGAAUGCUUGGUGAAGGUGUAAUACAAGAAUUGCAAUAACUCCAUAAGAAAUUAAGGUUUUUCUCAAUAUAUAUAAUCUGACUAACAAUUUUUUUUAGCAAUUCUGAAAAAAUUUGAACUACUACAUGCUGUGAUUACUGGCUACAGCUCUAGGAAUGUGGCAAAACUUAUUUUUUUUGAAAAACAAAAACAGAUUCAACUACCAAAAAUUGAAACCCUUAGAAAAUCGAAAUGUAAAUAUAUUAAUUUCUAGAUUCUCAUUAUCACUAGUUGGUGGCAUUUCUAUUUUGAAUUCUCAAAAAUGUUUUACAAAUGCACUAAUUAUUUUUUGUAUUCACUCGCUUAUUAACAAAGUGCCACAAUGUUCAAUAAUUAAUAAUUUCAAUACAUGUUAGUGAUUUCUUAUUUUUUUUUCUAGUAUUUUGAAUUUUCUGCUUCGAAAAUAUAUAUAUUUAUAUAAUUUCAUUUAUUCUUACAGAAUUAGGUACCACAUUCUAUACUGAAAUAUAUAUUAUUUAAAAUUAAAUAAUUAUUCAUCAUUGAUAUGAAAAUCGAAAGUCAGUAUAAUGUUACAUACGUGUUAAUCAUCAGAAUCUGAACUUUAAUUUCACAUAUAGUGAACAAAAUAAAACAUUCGGUUGAAUUGAAAUAUUUAUUUGCAACCCUCAUAGUAAAAAUGAAAUUUUGCACAAACAGUAAUAAAUAAUAGUUUGUACUGAGUUUUUUUAAUUUAUUUCUCUUUAAACUACAAAAAUGGAAUAUUAUCAAGUCACAGAUAUUGUCACUUAAUUAAUUUUAAUCUCUAUUUAUACUUUAAAUUCACAGAGGAAAUUUUUUUUUCAAAUAUACAAUGACUACAACAUAUUUUGACUAACAAGAUCUUGAAAAAAAUCUACUAUUGCUAUGUCAACAAUUACUUACUUUUAUAUCCAUCAGAUGGAAAAGUGUAAAUAGCAAUUAUAACUAUCAACUAUUUUACUUCGAAGCUGUCAGAAUUAAUUCAGCAUGACCACCGUAAUCAGGCAAAUUUUCCAUUGAUCAAUCAAUUAUAAAUUAUAUAUAAAGAAGGAUCUCCAGAUCCGAAUUUCAAAAUGUUGGAAAAAAAAUAACAUAUUUAAUUCGUAGAAGUGACUUUUCACGGCUUUAAGGCAGUCUCGCCAUCUUAGAUGACGCUUCUCCUCCAUAUGAAAUAAUAUACUAUUUCGAAACUUCUAAUAUCCCUAGAUAAGAGGAGGAGCGAAAGAUUAUCCGAUCAAGCAUGCACCUUGACAUAAAGAUCUAUUGUGCAUCUAAUAUACCUAGCUAGAAUUAAUUUACAAUUCCAUAUGAAAAAUUGCAUCCAGUGAAACAUUAUGAAGGUGGCUAAGGAAAAUGUUAAACCAAAUGAAGUAAAAUCACUAUAUGAAAAAAUAUCUUUCUUUGAAGGUGCCAAAAAUAUAGAUGGACAUUUUCUGGUAAUAUCGAAACUUCGCUUGUUUGAAUCCAUUAACUUUAUAUACAAUAAACUGUACAAGUAAAGUUUAUUUAUUGAGUAAGUCUUUGAAGA